ACGGAUUGCUAUACAAAAUGUUGGAGUGAGGCUGAUAUGGUAAUCUACUAAAAUUGUCAUGCUGAUCAUAGUGUACAUCGUCAUGCCUUUCUGAACCCAGGUAGUUAAGCAGAUGAACAAUGCUCUGAAUGAUCUGCGUGAACACGCAAACUUCAGUGCUAUGCUCUAGCAUUUGCAUUCUAUUAUGGAACUCACUACCCUGUAAUAAUAAUCAUGAUACUCUUUGCAGGAUACGUACUUUAAAGAAGCAUGAUAUGUCCCAUUUCCAUCCCUCUACUUCCUGUCGCGUGGCACGUAACAUCUUUUUCAGUGCAUUGAAGAGAAACGACCACCUGCAAGUCUUCAAUCUCCCUGUCUGCAUUGUCAUGAAAGAUGACACCAGAUGAAGCAGAUGCAGUUGUGAUUGGAUUCCGUUCCCCAGAGAAUCUACCCACCAUAGCUGCAAUCUCUCUCAACCGCUUGAAUAUAUUGAAACGCAUAUCAGCAUAACAACUGAAGAAGAGGAAAGGAAAUGUGUGUGGGGUUUCAUUCUUUUGCUCCCCUGCAUAUAAGCCAACAACAUCCCCAUCUUUAGGUUGGUAAGAUGGGAAACGACAAGAAUAGUUGUAUUUCUUUUCUUUAUUCUCCCACUCUUUCGUGAGUUGCUAGGUGCUGCUAUCCCACGUGAUGUCAAGGUGGUUCUUGGCUUGCAUUGUAAUUCUUUUACUGACAUCUUCCAAAUAGGUUAGUGAUCAUUUCUGUUUCUGCAAUUCUUGAAGAAAUGGAUUCCUGGCACUUUGUUUAUCA
Molecule: non-coding RNA, 786 nt
Organism: Musa acuminata subsp. malaccensis (wild Malaysian banana)
Lineage: Eukaryota; Viridiplantae; Streptophyta; Magnoliopsida; Zingiberales; Musaceae
Source: RefSeq, a predicted model, not a curated record